This 497-nucleotide ribosomal RNA is filed under the name uncultured bacterium. RNAcentral describes it as "partial 16S ribosomal RNA". It matches the Rfam family "Bacterial small subunit ribosomal RNA", at positions 28 to 507 of the family's 1533-position model. The record is from RNAcentral.
GAUGAGCGCUGGCGGCGUGCCUAAUACAUGCAGGUCGAGCGAACAGACGAGGAGCUUGCUCCUCUGACGUUAGCGGCGGACGGGUGAGUAACACGUGGAUAACCUACCUAUAAGACUGGGAUAACUUCGGGAAACCGGAGCUAAUACCGGAUAAUAUAUUGAACCGCAUGGUUCAAUAGUGAAAGACGGUUUUGCUGUCACUUAUAGAUGGAUCCGCGCCGCAUUAGCUAGUUGGUAAGGUAACGGCUUACCAAGGCAACGAUGCGUAGCCGACCUGAGAGGGUGAUCGGCCACACUGGAACUGAGACACGGUCCAGACUCCUACGGGAGGCAGCAGUAGGGAAUCUUCCGCAAUGGGCGAAAGCCUGACGGAGCAACGCCGCGUGAGUGAUGAAGGUCUUCGGAUCGUAAAACUCUGUUAUUAGGGAAGAACAAAUGUGUAAGUAACUAUGCACGUCUUGACGGUACCUAAUCAGAAAGCCACGGCUAACUACGUG